This 167-nucleotide ribosomal RNA is filed under the name Lotus purpureus. RNAcentral's name for it is "5.8S ribosomal RNA". It matches the Rfam family "5.8S ribosomal RNA". From Rfam's summary of the family: 5.8S ribosomal RNA (5.8S rRNA) is a component of the large subunit of the eukaryotic ribosome. It is transcribed by RNA polymerase I as part of the 45S precursor that also contains 18S and 28S rRNA. The record is from RNAcentral. Lineage: Eukaryota; Viridiplantae; Streptophyta; Magnoliopsida; Fabales; Fabaceae.
CUACAUAAAAUGACUCUCGGCAACGGAUAUCUCGGCUCUCGCAUCGAUGAAGAACGUAGCGAAAUGCGAUACUUGGUGUGAAUUGCAGAAUCCCGUGAACCAUCGAGUCUUUGAACGCAAGUUGCGCCCGAAACCAUUAGGUUGAGGGCACGUCUGCCUGGGUGUCW